CCUACGGGAGGCAGCAGUGAGGAAUAUUGGUCAAUGGACGAGAGUCUGAACCAGCCAAGUAGCGUGAAGGAUGACUGCCCUAUGGGUUGUAAACUUCUUUUAUAAAGGAAUAAAACGAGGCACGUGUGCCUUUUUGCAUGUACUUUAUGAAUAAGGAUCGGCUAACUCCGUGCCAGCAGCCGCGGUAAUACGGAGGAUCCGAGCGUUAUCCGGAUUUAUUUGGUUUAAAGGGAGCGUAGAUGGGUUGUUAAGUCAGUUGUGAAAGUUUGCGGCUCAACCGUAAAAUUGCAAUUGAGACUGGCAGUCUUGAGUACAGUUGAGGUAGGCGGAAUUCGUGGUGUAGCGGUGAAAUGCUUAGAUAUCACGAAGAACCCCGAUUGCGAAGGCAGCUUACUAAACUGUGACUGACAUUGAUGCUCGAAAGUGUGGGUAUCAAACAGGAUUAGAUACCCCUGUAGUC
This 460-nucleotide ribosomal RNA is filed under the name uncultured bacterium. Its description in RNAcentral is "partial 16S ribosomal RNA". It matches the Rfam family "Bacterial small subunit ribosomal RNA", at positions 338 to 795 of the family's 1533-position model. The record is from RNAcentral.